This 244-nucleotide unclassified non-coding RNA is filed under the name Borreliella burgdorferi (Lyme disease spirochete). RNAcentral's name for it is "5S-23S ribosomal RNA intergenic spacer region". Lineage: Bacteria; Pseudomonadati; Spirochaetota; Spirochaetia; Spirochaetales; Borreliaceae. The record is from RNAcentral.
UGCGGGAGAGUAGGUUAUUGCCAGGGUUUUUAUUUUUAUACUUUAAACUUUGAUUUUAUUUUUAUGUUUUUUAAAUAUUGGUGUUUUUGAAUGUGUUGUUUAAAUAACAUAAAAAAUAAAAUAUAUAUUGACAUGUAUUAAACAAAGAUAUAUAUUAUUUUAUGUUGUAUAAAUAAAUUGGCAAAAUAGAGAUGGAAGAUAAAAAUAUGGUCAAAGUAAUAAGAGUCUAUGGUGAAUGCCUAGA